GAUGAACGCUGGCGGCGUGCUUAAUACAUGCAAGUCGAGCGAACAGACGAGGAGCUUGCUCCUCUGACGUUAGCGGCGGACGGGUGAGUAACACGUGGAUAACCUACUUAUAAGACUGGGAUAACUUCGGGACACCGGAGCUAAUACCGGAUAAUCUAUUGAACCGCAUGGUUCAAUAGUGAAAGACGGUUUUGCUGUCUCUUAUCGCUGGAUCCGCGCCGCAUUAGCUAGUUGGUAAGGUAACGGCUUACCACGGCGACGAUGCGUAGCCGACGUGAGAGGGGGGUAGGCCACACUAGAGCGGAGACGCGGACAAGGCGACUGAGGGAGGCAGCAGUAGGGAAUCUGCCGCAAUGGGCGAGAGUUUGACGGAGCAACGCGAAGUGAGAGAUGAAAGUCUCGGGAGCGGAAAACUCUGUUAUGGGGGGAAAACAAAUGUGUAAGUAAAUAUGCACGUAGUGACGGUACCUGAUCAAAAAGCCACGGCUAACUACGUG
RNAcentral lists this ribosomal RNA (497 nucleotides) under uncultured bacterium. RNAcentral's name for it is "partial 16S ribosomal RNA". It matches the Rfam family "Bacterial small subunit ribosomal RNA", at positions 28 to 507 of the family's 1533-position model. The record is from RNAcentral.